AAGCCAGUCAAUGAGUCUGCUUACCUGAACGUGUUCCCGCAGAAAUGGAGAGAGCUGGCGAUAGUACAGCCAUGUUACGAGCCUUAAAGACGCUGCAGUCAUUAAGGUCCCUGAAAAUGGCUACAUGA
Small nucleolar RNA from Phyllostomus discolor (pale spear-nosed bat), 128 nucleotides. RefSeq annotates it as small nucleolar RNA SNORA33. The transcript has a single exon. NCBI's taxonomy places the organism in Eukaryota, Metazoa, Chordata, Mammalia, Chiroptera, Phyllostomidae. The record is from RefSeq and is a predicted model, not a curated record.